This 79-nucleotide small RNA is filed under the name Flavobacterium hercynium. Its description in RNAcentral is "Flavo-1 RNA". It matches the Rfam family "Flavo-1 RNA". The record is from Rfam by way of RNAcentral. Lineage: Bacteria; Pseudomonadati; Bacteroidota; Flavobacteriia; Flavobacteriales; Flavobacteriaceae.
UCCUAGCCCAGACAGCAGCGGUAUCCUUUUGCUUGCUUCUUUAGCAAGGAAAAGAUACAAGCGUAUGGCUGGAAAAAGC